Molecule: long non-coding RNA, 741 nt
Organism: Cylas formicarius (sweet potato weevil)
Lineage: Eukaryota; Metazoa; Arthropoda; Insecta; Coleoptera; Brentidae
Exons: 3
Source: RefSeq, a predicted model, not a curated record
ACGCAUCCGCGGAAAAUUCCGAAUUUUGCGUGGAAAAUGAUGUAUUAGUUUAAUGGGCCACGGAUGGCGGAAAUCGUCUCCGCCCACGGACCAUUCUUCUUCUUUUUCUCAACACACGGCGGACAAACGUAUUGAAAACAUUUGCCCUUCGUUAUACCGCAUUUCGGAUAGUAUUAACACCCUGUAACAUUUCGAAUCUAGAAUAACGCACCUAGAAAGUGCAAUUGGCCGCGAUUACCCAUUAUUGUUCGCCGACAAUGAGCGCGGGAAAAAGAAACUGAAAAUCGACGCGGAAAUUUCCGUCUCACGUUUCGAAAGAAAAAUAUCGCCGUACCAGGUCGUCUCGUCGCCGGCCGAACGUUUAAAUAGGCCUUAAUAAGGAAGUCCAGUUUUUGUCCGGCGAAGCGGAGAAGCGAUCUUGGCCGUCAAUUAACCGCAGUGGUCUGGGUCUGUAAGAAUUCUGUCGUCAAGGCGGUUGUUUGACAGAUGUCAGUUUUAAAUGAGGAGUUGACAGGAGCGCAUCGGACUGUAAGAACAACAGAAAUUCAAGAACCAGUUUUCAAUUCUAUAGAAAAAUUGGAAAUAAUCUGAAUAUCUCGCGUGUCUUGAUUCGGAAAAUUUUGCACGAUUUUCUAUUGUCCCAUAUCAUAUUCAGCAAGUUGGGAAAUGAUAUGUAUGUAUAUGUAUAUGCAUUAUAACUGUGAAAGUAAAAAGAGUAGUCUUUUAUUUUUUUUUCUGAAG